UUUUGGUUAAUUGAAAUUUCAAUAUUAAUAUUAAACCCAGUAGUUCAUUUAUAAUAGUGUCGUCCCUAUAAGUAAAAUCCUAUAUCAAAUAUCUUGUCAAUUUUUUUCUGCUGCCAUGAUUGGUCAUAAUUGUAGCUGGUCUAGUGGAGCUGAAGCUGCUGAACUGUAGUUUUGGAGAAAGAACCACCUUUUCCUCAUUCUUGAUCCAAUGAUGACAUGGUAUCAUGUGAUUCUUCCUUUCCCUGCUUGUUAUUUACCAUUGUAUCAUGAUAUCAUUAAAGGGAAUAGGCCUUUUUAUAGGGCAGAUGACUAGAUAUUUGUUACUCUUUUUCUUUUUUGGGUGCCAGUUUAACAAAGCCAGUGGGUAAUUAAACAGGGAAAAAGAGGUAUUGAAACAUUCUCAUCAGAUCAGAUGGCUUAUUUGGCAGAUGGAAAUUAGUGUUCUUUGAAUUAUUAUGUAGCUUUGCGGACAAAGAAUGGUUAAUACGAAUAUCCUGUGGGUUUGUAUUCUAUGCUAAUUAACAAUAAUCUGCCUAUGGUCACAACAAACUGUUUUAUCACAUUUUUCAUUAUGGUGCUUCACCCUCCACAGGAGAACAAUUUGGCCUUUUGCCUUUGCCCUUAUGACAUCAUAAUGGAAUGGAUACUAUCAAGAUU
RNAcentral lists this unclassified non-coding RNA (657 nucleotides) under Hevea brasiliensis (rubber tree). The record is from RNAcentral. Lineage: Eukaryota; Viridiplantae; Streptophyta; Magnoliopsida; Malpighiales; Euphorbiaceae.